CUUAACACAUGCAAGUCGCGGGGUAACAUCUGGUAGAGCUUGCUCUUCCAGGAUGACGACCGGCGCACGGGUGAGUAACGCGUAUCCAACCUGGCCCAUACCACGGGAUAGCCGUCAAAGGCGGAUUAAUACCGUAUGCUGUCAUUAAGAUGCAUAUAUUGAUGACGAAAGGACUGGCGGUAUGGGAUGGGGAUGCGUCUGAUUAGCUUGUUGGCGGGGUAACGGCCCACCAAGGCGACGAUCAGUAGGGGUUCUGAGAGGAAGGUCCCCCACAUUGGAACUGAGACACGGUCCAAAACUCCUACGGGAGGCAGCAGUGAGGAAUAUUGGUCAAUGGGCGCAAGCCUGAACCAGCCAAGUAGCGUGAGGGAUGACUGCCCUACGGGUUGUAAACCUCUUUUGUUUGGGAAUAAAGUGCGGGACGUGUCCCGCAUUGCAUGUACCAUUUGAAUAAGGACCGGCUAAUUCCGUG
Molecule: ribosomal RNA, 472 nt
Filed under: uncultured bacterium
Lineage: Bacteria
Description: bacterial SSU rRNA
Rfam family: Bacterial small subunit ribosomal RNA
Source: RNAcentral